CUGUCCUUAGUACGAGAGGACCGGGAUGGACUGACCUCUGGUGCACCAGUUGUUCCGCCAGGAGCAUAGCUGGGUAGCUAAGUCGGGAAGGGAUAAACGCUGAAAGCAUCUAAGCGUGAAGCCCCCCUCAAGAUGAGAUUUCCCAUAGCGUAAGCUAGUAAGACCCCUUGAAGAACACAAGGUUGAUAGGUCAGAGGUGUAAGUGUGGUAACAUAUUUAGCUGACUGAUACUAAUAGGUCGAGGGCUUGACCAA
Molecule: non-coding RNA, 254 nt
Filed under: Clostridium sp. 7_2_43FAA
Lineage: Bacteria; Bacillati; Bacillota; Clostridia; Eubacteriales; Clostridiaceae
Description: Bacterial large subunit ribosomal RNA
Rfam family: Bacterial large subunit ribosomal RNA
Source: Rfam by way of RNAcentral